UUGGGCUUUUUAGGGGUAGUGAGCUUGGGCUUUUUGAGGGUAGUGGGCUCAGGCUUUUUGGGGGUGGUUGUAGGUUCCUUGGUGGUGGUGGUUGUGGGAGAAGGCAUUUGAGGAGUGGUGGGUGUAAGAUGUGGUUGUAGUUUCAGCUUCGGUUGUAGUUUUAA
Long non-coding RNA from Myotis davidii, 164 nucleotides. RefSeq lists it as uncharacterized. Lineage: Eukaryota; Metazoa; Chordata; Mammalia; Chiroptera; Vespertilionidae. The transcript is spliced from 2 exons. The record is from RefSeq and is a predicted model, not a curated record.